This is a long non-coding RNA of Spinacia oleracea (spinach), 707 nucleotides long. RefSeq lists it as uncharacterized. The transcript is spliced from 2 exons. NCBI's taxonomy places the organism in Eukaryota, Viridiplantae, Streptophyta, Magnoliopsida, Caryophyllales, Amaranthaceae. The record is from RefSeq and is a predicted model, not a curated record.
AGCUUCUAGUGUUCUAGGUAGCGAGAUAAAUCCGUAAAACAAGUGUUCCAUAUUAAUUUGGAAUGUAGUAACUUUUAAUUAUGAAUCAUUUUCUCCUAUAAAUAAUUUUUAAUUUAUGUUAGUUAAUUUGCAAAACAAUUUUAUACAUUAGUAUUUUAAAACAAAAGCUAUUCUUUUUGCAAAUUAUGAAGAUGUCAAUGAGGCCAUUUGUUGCUUUCUUCCUUGUGUUCUUACUCGUCUUGACAACAGAGGUAAGUACAAAAGUAGCAGAAGCAAGGAUAUGUGCUAGUCCAAGUCCCACGUUCAAAGGAAUAUGUUUUAGCAGCAGGAAUUGUGAAACUAAUUGCAAUUCUGUGAAAUUUUCUGGAGGAAGUUGUCAAGGUUUUCGUAGAAGAUGCAUGUGCACCAAGCCUUGCGCUUAAUUAACCAAUGGUGUGCCACGUGCGCGUUCCUCGUUAUCAAUAAUCAGCUUCACAUUGGUUAAAAUUUGCAUAAAUAUGUAAAAAAAAAAAAUAACAGUUUGGCGCGCGCGUUCGCUAUACAUCAUCUUCAUUCAUCAACAAUCGAGUUGAUGCAGUGUUCUAUGUAUAUCUAUAUAUAAUCUUAUAUACAAAGUGUGUACUAAUACUUGUAUUAUAGUUGUGGUAACUUUGCAAUGUUCAAAUUUCGAACUAAUAAAUUAAUGAAAACUACAAUUCAUUAAGAAA